Long non-coding RNA from Megalobrama amblycephala (Wuchang bream), 1619 nucleotides. RefSeq lists it as uncharacterized. The transcript has 3 exons. Lineage: Eukaryota; Metazoa; Chordata; Actinopteri; Cypriniformes; Xenocyprididae. The record is from RefSeq and is a predicted model, not a curated record.
ACAGUGACAGCUGACUCACGCGUUAAAUCGUUUGUAACGGCUUUUCUCAUUAAUUAAAACACUAACCAGAGACUUUAGAAGAAACAAAACACGAAGCGCCCUGGACACAGUGAAAAUUCACCUACAAUCCUUUGAAACCAAACCUGGAAAGGCGUCCUCUCGUUUGUUUGCUAUGAAAAAGGCAUUUUUGAAGUCCAACACCUGCACGUGCGCAGCUUGUGAACGACUCACCUCAGGAUUAAAUGGACAUUUUUUGCUGCUUUGCCUUUGAAAAACGACACUUCGCAAGUGAUCAACAGUGCCCUGGUCAGCUCACAGAUGAUCGGGAUCUUGUUCAGCCACUCAUUUCUAACAUUGGGAUCCUUCAGAUGGAUAUGCAGAGCUGCAGGUGCUGCACACAUCCAGGAAUGGCUCAAGAAUGUUAGAAAUGGACAAACCGUUGUGGUACAGAAAAUUCUGAUGGCUACAUGGAAAAACAGUCCUGUGCACUUUUCAUUCCCCAGUAGGCCAAGGCGCAAUCUAGUGCUGCAGAUGGUUGAAGUAUCUCCAUUAAUCUUUUAUUGGUAUGUAAUUAUUUUUUGCCACUGCAUAAUUAAUAACGUCACUUUGAUUUCUAUAGUCACGGUGUGCGAUUACAGAGAGCGUGUGAACGCAACAUUCUUUGCAGUGAUGUCAGUGAGUCGUUGUAUGACAGCCUUCCGUGUCAUUGAAACUGACAUUUGACCAAUGUUGGGCUAGUGAUUGAUGGGAAAUCUAAGGGGUGAGGCCAAGCCACUGAAGCCAGCAAUAGGUCAAUGCUUGAUUCAUAUCUUCUAAGCCCACAGGGAGAACGCCCAGGUACUUGUUACUGGUCACACUAGGCCAGCGUUAGGCCUUGGUUUGCUUGGACGGCUGGGCAGAGGCCAGGCUUCUGCUGAGUGAGGGCUAUUUCUGAAGGACACUGGGGAGGAUACAGCUGGUGUCCCUGCUGUUCAGAGUGUAAAGCAGCCAGCCUGCUGAAACAAAGCCAAUCGCUGCUGCUGAGAAACCGUCUGUCCUCGAUGGAAUCAAACCCAUCUCUUGUUCUUCGUUCACCUCUGUUGUGUGCUGUCAUCUGCAGUUACUGUCUAUAUAUGUUACAGUACAGAAGAUGGAAAAGAUCAGGCUUUCUUGGUCCUGGAAUGACAUUCUUAUUAGGCAGUCAAAUUUUAUGUUUAGAUUUGGCGACAUGCUCCUGGAUGAGUAUGUUUUUGCUGGUCCUGGAGCAACAUUUCUGAGCUAUCCCUAUCCCUAUCCCUAACUCCAACCCUAGCCAUUAAAGAGUUAUUAAAUUAGAAGGAAAUGAUAGCUUUAUAAGAGUGUUAUUACUCUAAAUUCUGGUUGUUUGUUGUUGUUCCAGGACCAACAAGUUUCCUAAUCCAGGAACACAUUUUACUUCACGGUCAAUCUGGUCUAUGAUUGAUGAAUGUUGUUGUCCUAUUUGACUGAAUUGUGUUGUACUACAUACAAGAAUGAGCCCUAAGCUUCAAACAUGAUUAGGUAAAAAUACAGGUUCUGGGUUUAAAAAAAAAAAAAAAGGGAUCUUCCGAUCUUAAGUUUGAUGUUGUGUGAGUUUAAAGUCUGUGUUUAAUGUGAUGCAA